Ovis aries (sheep) is the source of this 82-nucleotide transfer RNA. It matches the Rfam family "tRNA". From Rfam's summary of the family: Transfer RNA (tRNA) molecules are approximately 80 nucleotides in length. Their secondary structure includes four short double-helical elements and three loops (D, anti-codon, and T loops). The record is from Rfam. NCBI's taxonomy places the organism in Eukaryota, Metazoa, Chordata, Mammalia, Artiodactyla, Bovidae.
GAUGAGGUGGCCAAGUGGUUAAGGUGACGCAUUGCUAACCCAUCGUGCUCUGUACAUGCGGGUUUGAAUCCCAUCCUCAUCG